GUCCACGCCCUAAACGAUGUCAACUAGUUGUUCGGUGAGGAGACUCAUUGAGUAACGCAGCUAACGCGUGAAGUUGACCGCCUGGGGAGUACGGCCGCAAGGUUAAACUCAAGGAAUUGACGGGGACCCGCACAAGCGGUGGAUGAUGUGGAUUAAUUCGAUGCAACGCGAAAACCUUACCUACCCUUGACAUGCCAGGAACUUGCCAGAGAUGGCUUGGUGCUCGAAAGAGAGCCUGGACACAGGUGCUGCAUGGCUGUCGU
This 263-nucleotide ribosomal RNA is filed under the name uncultured bacterium. RNAcentral's name for it is "partial 16S ribosomal RNA". It matches the Rfam family "Bacterial small subunit ribosomal RNA", at positions 793 to 1055 of the family's 1533-position model. The record is from RNAcentral.